RNAcentral lists this ribosomal RNA (224 nucleotides) under uncultured bacterium. RNAcentral's name for it is "partial 16S ribosomal RNA". It matches the Rfam family "Bacterial small subunit ribosomal RNA", at positions 15 to 230 of the family's 1533-position model. The record is from RNAcentral.
GAUCAUGGCUCAGGAUGAACGCUAGCUACAGGCUUAACACAUGCAAGUCGAGGGGCAGCAUGGUCUUAGCUUGCUAAGACCGAUGGCGACCGGCGCACGGGUGAGUAACACGUAUCCAACCUGCCGUCUACUCUUGGACAGCCUUCUGAAAGGAGGAUUAAUACAAGAUGGCAUCAUGAGUCCACAUGUUCACAUGAUUAAAGGUAUUCCGGUAGACGAUGGGG